UCAUUGUGAAUGCCUGAUUAUCCCUUAAUGAUCCUGUUCUUGUCCUUUUCAUAUUUUGCACUUUUCGAAUAAGGUAUACAAUUUAAAUUGGUGAAUGUAAUCCUUUCCAUCCUAACCAAAAUACAAGUUCUCCGUAUGCUUAAAACAUCCUAGAGAUAUUAAUGUGUAUAUUUUUGCGUUUUGAAUGAAAUUUGAAACAGGAAUGGCAAAGAAAACCGAUAAAAAGAAGGGCCGUUCAGCCAUUAACCAAGUGGUCACAAGGGAAUAUACGAUUCAUCUACACAAACGAAUUCAUGGAAUG
Molecule: non-coding RNA, 301 nt
Organism: Paramuricea clavata
Lineage: Eukaryota; Metazoa; Cnidaria; Anthozoa; Malacalcyonacea; Plexauridae
Source: the annotation of a GenBank genome assembly